This 483-nucleotide ribosomal RNA is filed under the name uncultured bacterium. RNAcentral's name for it is "partial 16S ribosomal RNA". It matches the Rfam family "Bacterial small subunit ribosomal RNA", at positions 30 to 506 of the family's 1533-position model. The record is from RNAcentral.
AUUGAACGCUGGCGGCAGGCCUAACACAUGCAAGUCGAGCGGAUGAAGGGAGCUUGCUCCUGGAUUCAGCGGCGGACGGGUGAGUAAUGCCUAGGAAUCUGCCUGGUAGUGGGGGAUAACGUCCGGAAACGGGCGCUAAUACCGCAUACGUCCUGAGGGAGAAAGUGGGGGAUCUUCGGACCUCACGCUAUCAGAUGAGCCUAGGUCGGAUUAGCUAGUUGGUGGGGUAAAGGCCUACCAAGGCGACGAUCCGUAACUGGUCUGAGAGGAUGAUCAGUCACACUGGAACUGAGACACGGUCCAGACUCCUACGGGAGGCAGCAGUGGGGAAUAUUGGACAAUGGGCGAAAGCCUGAUCCAGCCAUGCCGCGUGUGUGAAGAAGGUCUUCGGAUUGUAAAGCACUUUAAGUUGGGAGGAAGGGCAGUAAGUUAAUACCUUGCUGUUUUGACGUUACCAACAGAAUAAGCACCGGCUAACUUCGC